CGGGAUGUAGCGCAGUUUGGCAGCGCGCAGCGUUCGGGACGCUGAGGCCCCGGGUUCAAAUCCCGGCAUCCCGACCA
RNAcentral lists this transfer RNA (77 nucleotides) under Actinobacteria bacterium IMCC26256. Its description in RNAcentral is "tRNA-Pro". It matches the Rfam family "tRNA". From Rfam's summary of the family: Transfer RNA (tRNA) molecules are approximately 80 nucleotides in length. Their secondary structure includes four short double-helical elements and three loops (D, anti-codon, and T loops). RNAcentral also lists the same sequence under 4 other names. The record is from RNAcentral. Lineage: Bacteria; Bacillati; Actinomycetota; Actinomycetes.